This 400-nucleotide ribosomal RNA is filed under the name uncultured bacterium. RNAcentral's name for it is "bacterial SSU rRNA". It matches the Rfam family "Bacterial small subunit ribosomal RNA", at positions 29 to 433 of the family's 1533-position model. The record is from RNAcentral.
AUUGAACGCUGGCGGCAUGCUUUACACAUGCAAGUCGAACGGUAACAGGCCUUCGGGUGCUGACGAGUGGCGAACGGGUGAGUAAUGCAUCGGAACGUGCCCAAUCGUGGGGGAUAACGUAGCGAAAGUUACGCUAAUACCGCAUAAGCCCUGAGGGGGAAAGCAGGGGAUCGCAAGACCUUGCGCGAAUGGAGCGGCCGAUGUCAGAUUAGCUAGUUGGUGGGGGUAAAGGCCUACCAAGGCGACGAUCUGUAGCGGGUCUGAGAGGAUGAUCCGCCACACUGGGACUGGGACACGGCCCAGACUCCUACGGGAGGCAGCAGUGGGGAAUUUUGGACAAUGGGCGCAAGCCUGAUCCAGCCAUGCCGCGUGCGGGACGAAGGCCUCGGUUGUAACCGAC